CCAUGGUUUCACUGUGGGCUGUAGUUGGCGGCCGUGGCUGUAGCGCGCUCUUCAAGGUCUCGAGGUGUCAGGUUGACAACGUGAUGUUUACUCACGUGUUCUGUAUCAUAUUUUAGCGGCGGUCCGCUUCGGCAAGUUUCAACGCACAUUCUUACCUGCUGGUUUGUACUGUGGACCAAGAUUUGCUGCGCGUUCUGGAAGCAUUGGUGCAACGCGAAGUGUAGUACCCCUACUCUGCCUUUCCUAUGGGAGCGUCUUAUCCAUCCAGCAGCUACAGAUUCUGAGAAGUCUCAUAGGGGACUCGUCCACCAGUGUAACUUCAGUGACAAUGAGACUGAUUAGUCAUGGCACCUCUCAUCAGGGUUCACAUAGCGAGCAGCCAUUUGUGCCCACAGAGCUUCAAAGAUGCGCAUUGCAUGAUCACAUUAGCACCCAUAUGGGUGAGCGGCUGUGUAAAUACCACUUGUGACCCUGAAGCUUCUUGGUAAAAUCCGCGUUGGCUGUGUGCCUGCUAAUUCACACGUCUGAGCAUCGGUAUGAAGGUUCUUGACUCCUCCAAGCUUUCUGGCAAAUGUUCAAACUGAAAAUGCAUGUGCAUCCAAAAGAGCCAGCACCUGUGUCAAUGCCCUUCUUGCCCCCAGACAGUUAACAAGAAUGGCCAUCUCAAAAGACGCAAGCAUCACCUUGAACACUAGCAACCCUUUCAUUAAAGGCUCUGCUGUCGUUGUUUUUUGUGUUUGUUUAUUUGCUUUUGUAAAGGCACCUUUAAAGAGUUGUUCCAGAAUAACGUGAAAAGUGCUGAGAUACAUGGCAUAACAUUAAGGUUGUGGUCCUAGCAGUGAUGGCCUGGCCUCAUUCAUUUUUUUACACCAUCUUUGUGCAUGGAGCAAUGUGUAAUUGAAACAUUUCAUAUCAUUUUUCUCUUUGCACUGCUGUUGGUACCGGUGUAUAUUAUCAUUAUAAGUUGUAUUGUGUAUUUCUACUGUUCAAUGACCACAUUUUUCUUCAGUGUGAACUCUAUAUCCUUUCCGAGCCACGCAUUUGAAUACUGUAAACGUAAAACCAUAUCUCCAUUACACUAUGGCCUAGUGGAGGUCACCAGUCAGAUGUGUAGGUAUAUAAUAAUCGGUCGGAAUUGCAAGAUUUCAUGUGUUUCUUUCAUGUUAUGUGAUGUGUAAAGGAAAUUAAAGGGCUCAUUUUCUUUGUUAGACACCAUUUAGUGAGAACUAACAGACAAUAAUGCGAAGGGAAGUAUAGGGCCUGUUAGUGGUAAUUUUAAUGUAAAUGUGAAGAAAGAAAGGGGACAAAAAGAUGAUUUGUCGCUGACAGGGACCGAACCUGUCACCUUCAAAUGACACGGCCAACACUCUACCUCCCUGCACGUGUGAAUGGGCAAAAAAAAAAGAAUGGAGUGCUCCACACUCGUCCUAAUGGCUACUGCCGGCACUGAAUGACACUCCCAUCUUUCAAAUGCACAUAUAUAUUAUAUAAAGUAGACACAGGAAUGACCACUGCUAUAGUACAGUUGGUGGAGCAUUGGGCGCAUCAUUAAAAGCUUGCAGGUUAAAUCCCUGCCAUCUGCAAAUUAUCUUUUCGUCCACUUUUAUUCUGUACAUUUACAUCACAAUUACUGUUAAUAACAUCCGGUAUACUUUCCUUCACCUCAUCUUAUUAAAGGGGUACUGACACAAAAUUUUGCUGCCGAGAUAGCCUGCAGUAUCGAUUCCCGUGAACAUGCGUAUAUCAUCGACAAAAUAUCAAUAGCAAAUAUAGCUUGAAAGGUAUUUUACAGCAAUUUUGAAAUUUGAAUUUUGAAGGUAUUGACAUUGUCUAAAGGACCCUUUGCGGACCGCCUUACUUCCCUCACGUCAUCAUGCUGCAGUCAAUAAAGUAGGUUAUGAUAAUGUCAUAGCUGCCAUUUUUCUUUUGCCACGCUUGUUUCCGCUGUCAAUACACAUGUGGUUGCUAUUAUGAAUUUUCUUUGGUAAUAAAAUGCAGAUGCAGAAGUUAUGUGGACCAGCUA
Molecule: long non-coding RNA, 2023 nt
Filed under: Rhipicephalus microplus (southern cattle tick)
Lineage: Eukaryota; Metazoa; Arthropoda; Arachnida; Ixodida; Ixodidae
Description: uncharacterized LOC119167144
Source: RNAcentral